RNAcentral lists this ribosomal RNA (253 nucleotides) under Ruminococcus callidus. RNAcentral describes it as "partial 16S ribosomal RNA". It matches the Rfam family "Bacterial small subunit ribosomal RNA", at positions 524 to 776 of the family's 1533-position model. Lineage: Bacteria; Bacillati; Bacillota; Clostridia; Eubacteriales; Oscillospiraceae. The record is from RNAcentral.
UACGUAGGGAGCGAGCGUUGUCCGGAAUGACUGGGUGUAAAGGGAGCGUAGGCGGGAUGGCAAGUCAGAUGUGAAACCUGAGGGCUCAACCUUCAGACUGCAUUUGAAACUGCUGUUCUUGAGUGAAGUAGAGGUAAGCGGAAUUCAUGGUGUAGCGGUGAAAUGCGUAGAGAUCAGGAGGAACAUCGGUGGCGAAGGCGGCUUACUGGGCUUUUACUGACGCUGAGGCUCGAAAGCGUGGGGAGCAAACAGG